This 383-nucleotide long non-coding RNA is filed under the name Brassica napus (rape). RNAcentral describes it as "long non-coding RNA (BNAP_LNC020022)". The record is from RNAcentral. Lineage: Eukaryota; Viridiplantae; Streptophyta; Magnoliopsida; Brassicales; Brassicaceae.
AUCUUUGAAGACCAAGAGAGGCAAGGUUGCAAUUUGCUCUUCUUCCGUCGAUCACAGGAGUAGCGUCCACACAAGCCUUGCUCGCCGCAUCUGCCUCCUUGAACGUCACCUGAUCACAGCACUUUACUAAUUAGUUCCCCUUUGAGGUAUAUAUGUAUAACCCUAAAUAUACCACUCUAUAUAUAUCUAGAAACAAUGAGUUAUUGUAUAUACGAAUCCGUAGCCCUUAGAUCUGCCUGAAGCCUUGUCGGUGAUGACUACAGCUUCCAAAAUCUCCCCAAACUGCUCGAAGUGCUUCUUCAACGUAUCCUUGUGCGUCUCCCAAGCUAAUCCUCCGACAAACACCUUUGUGUACGUCGUGUCUCCCAACCCUAUUCCUCCCG